Molecule: ribosomal RNA, 253 nt
Filed under: uncultured bacterium
Lineage: Bacteria
Description: partial 16S ribosomal RNA
Rfam family: Bacterial small subunit ribosomal RNA
Source: RNAcentral
UACAGAGGUCUCAAGCGUUGUUCGGAUUCAUUGGGCGUAAAGGGUGCGUAGGUGGCGUGGUAAGUCGGGUGUGAAAUUUCGGAGCUUAACUCCGAAACUGCAUUCGAUACUGGCGUGCUUGAGGACUGGAGAGGAGACUGGAAUUCAUGGUGUAGCAGUGAAAUGCGUAGAGAUCAUGAGGAAGACCAGUGGCGAAGGCGGGUCUCUGGACAGUUCCUGACACUGAGACACGAAGGCCAGGGGAGCAAACGGG